RNAcentral lists this unclassified non-coding RNA (169 nucleotides) under uncultured Ascomycota. RNAcentral's name for it is "sequence contains ITS2". Lineage: Eukaryota; Fungi; Ascomycota. The record is from RNAcentral.
AACCCCCCUCGAGCUCCCUUCUGAGCUCGGCGUGGGGGGACCGCUGGAACCCCAGCGGUCCCCCGAAACUCAGUGGCGGCGGCGCUGUGGCGCGACGCGAGUAGUAGCUUAACUCUCACGAAGCCCCUGCGUCUGCUUGUCGGCAACGAGCCCCCCAACAUAAUCUAAU